RNAcentral lists this ribosomal RNA (404 nucleotides) under uncultured Rhodospirillales bacterium. RNAcentral describes it as "bacterial SSU rRNA". It matches the Rfam family "Bacterial small subunit ribosomal RNA", at positions 355 to 776 of the family's 1533-position model. The record is from RNAcentral. Lineage: Bacteria; Pseudomonadati; Pseudomonadota; Alphaproteobacteria; Rhodospirillales.
UGGGGAAUCUUGGACAAUGGGGGCAACCCUGAUCCAGCGACGCCGCGUGGGUGACGAAGGCCUUCGGGUUGUAAAGCCCUUUUUCCGGGGACGAUGAUGACGGUACCCGGGGAAUAAGCACCGGCUAACUCCGUGCCAGCAGCCGCGGUAAGACGGAGGGUGCUAGCGUUGUUCGGAUUUACUGGGCGUAAAGGGCGCGUAGGCGGCCUGAUCAGUCGGGUGUGAAAGCCCGGGGCUCAACCCCGGAACGGCACCCGAGACGGUCAGGCUGGAGACCGGGAGAGGAGGGUGGAAUAGCCAGUGUAGAGGUGAAAUUCGUAGAUAUUGGCUGGAACACCGGUGGCGAAAGCGGCUCUCUGGCCCGGUUCUGACGCUGAGGCGCGAAAGCGUGGGGAGCAAACAGG